This 2616-nucleotide long non-coding RNA is filed under the name Daucus carota (carrot). RNAcentral describes it as "long non-coding RNA (DCAR_LNC000937)". Lineage: Eukaryota; Viridiplantae; Streptophyta; Magnoliopsida; Apiales; Apiaceae. The record is from RNAcentral.
UCCACUAUCUCCAUUCUAUAACAAUAUAAACACUAUUACACACAUUACUUUCCUCCACUAUCUCAAAUCUAUUAUUAAAUAUAAAUGGGUCCCACCACUAUACCUACUUUUCAUCUAACUUUACUAUUUUUUACAUUUUUUCUUGGUCUUCGUAUCCCAACCAAAUGUAUACAAAUGGUUGGGACGGAGGGAACUAGAGCACACGUGAUAGUCAUCAAUCCAGUCAUUUUAAUUUGUUCCCAAAGCUUGGGUGGUGUGGAUGUUAAUAUCGUCUGAGAACCAUUCAUGUUUGAGCAAAGAGUUGCGUGUUAAUAUCGUCUGAGAACCAUUCGUGUUUGAGCAAAGAGUCAUUUGAGUAAAUAUGAAAGAUCUCCCCUGUAGAUGUAGAAACCAUUGAAGUUAUAUAAAACUCAAGCAAAUCACAAAUGCACACACAGGUGAGACAAGCUCGUUUUAUUAAUCCGAUAAAUUGCUGCUUACAAAAUGAAAGAAACACACUCUGAUAAACUCAAGUUCAGAGUGUUGGAAAAAAAGUCCUACUUAAACAACUAGCUAAGAUGGUAAGGAUAAACAAGAACUGCUGCCUAUGGUUAAUCCACUCCUACAUGCACUCAUGAAAAACAGCUACUGCUAUGGCCUAAUCUUGUGUGCACACUGAUCACAUAGCAACUUAUUUAAAUUAACUAAAUUAAAUAAAAGCAACUGAAGUAUAUCAGAAUUUAGAUCAAACUCCAACAAGCUCCCCUAAUCUAAACUCGAUUGCAGGUUCUUCACACCCAAUAGCUCACACAUUCCCUCAAACUUAGCCCUUGACAAUGCCUUGGUCAAUACAUCAGCUCUCUGUUCAUUUGUGUUGACAUGUACUUUGAGUAUAAUUUCACCACAUUCUACACAUUCCCAUAUAAAGUGGUAGCGAAUAUCUAUGUGUUUACUCCUUCAUGAAACACUGGAUUCUUUGCCAAAUCUAUUGCCCACUUGUUAUCAAUAUACAGCACCACAGGACCAGCCUUUAUAUUCGUCAUCCGUCUGAGAAGUUUAUAAAGCCAUAUGCCUUGACACGCAGCUGCGUUGUUUUUGACAUUGCCAUACCUCUAGUAGACCUCUUGUCAUCCACAUUUCCAACUAGGUCGCUGUUUGAAUAUCCUGAGAGCAAGUAGUUUCCAUCCCGUUUAGAAUAAACCAACCCAUAAUCAAGAGUUCCAUUCACAUAACGUAAAAUUCGUUUUGCUGCAGCUAGGUGCAUGACUAUGGGUCUCUCCAUGAACCUGCUUACAAUGCCAACUGAAUAAGCUAUAUCAGGUCUUGUAAAUACAAGAUACCUGAGUCCUCCAACCAUACUUUUAAGGCUUAAUGACCUUUUAGCCCUCGAAGUAUGAAUGGAAGUUCCGAUGCGGUCUUGAAGUUUAAAAACGUACCUUUCGACCCUCAAAGUAUUUUUGUCGUACCUUUUAGCCCUUUUUAAAAAUACCGGCAUAAAUCAGGGGAUAACUUGAAAAAUAGGCAAGAGCAUAACCCAUCAGCACACCAAGAAUUCCUACUAAUUCUCAUUUUAAGCCGACCCUUGAACAUAUAUAAACCAUGUAGGCAAGUAUUCCUUAAUUAAAGAAUGAAUAAAACUUUCUCCAUCUGUUAUCUAAACUAUUGAAGCCACCAGCGAAGUUGCAACCUUGACAUGUGCCAUUGCUGCAGCAAAAGAAACCUGAUUAUAUCGCAUUCCGUAUUUUACUUUUUUCAGCUUCUCUAGUUAUUCUGUAGGCAAUCCCUUAGUUGCAAUUUCGCUAACAGUAUCCAGCAGCUGGGUAACUAUUUCUUUUGAGAUAAAUAUAACAUUCCCGACAGAUCGGUGGACACGUAGGUAAAGUAUUCCAUUCAUUAUUGUUUUUCCAUGUCAGACAUACCAAUCAUUGCCAUCUGUCAGCAAGGUGGAUGUUGUUGAGGUUAAAUUUUUCAACUUAACGUUUGCUGUUAGAUUUUUCUAAAAAAGUUAAUAGAAUGAUAUAUAAUAUAACAGUAUUUUAGUGGGUUAUAUGAGUCGCCGUGGAGAUCGGGUAGCUACUUGAUAUAUUUUGCUGAGUUCGAUGGGCAAUCUGAUAUAAAACCCAAAACCAAACCAAAUUAAUACUAAAUUUGAUAUUUGAUAUAAUAUAUGAUUUUGGUUCAUAAACCCGUCCAAAUCCAUAUUAAUCAACUAAAAUUGGUCCAAAACAUGAGAGGUCUACUUACUCUCUUGACACAAUUGGUAUAUGAUGAAAAUUUGAACCUUCGGGAAUUGAAAAUAUAUGGGCAUAUCACAGAGGUGGAUCUAAUAUUUCCGCUGCAAUAUGUUGGGGAUAGUAAUGCUCAUGUAUCUAAAGUUCGUAUUACAAGAUUACAUUUAUCGAUUUCAUACCUGGAAGAAGACCCAAUGCCAAUACAAUACUGGAAAUGCUUCCAAUGUUGGGUGUUCUCUGUUUGUUUACCGAUACAUAUAUGGGGAAGGAGAUGGUGUGCUCUGCAACCGGUUUUCCUAAACUCACCCACCUUUUUCUGGACAGCUUACCGAAUCUUGAAAAAUGGAGGGUGGAGAAAGGAAGCAUGCCCAUCCUUUCAUACUUGCGUAUUCAAAGAUGUAACAAG